UACGGAGGGUGCAAGCGUUACCCGGAUUCACUGGGUUUAAAGGGGGCGUAGGCGGGCUGAUACGUCAGCGGUGAAAGCUCCCCGCCCAACCGGGAAAGUGCCAUUGAUACUGUUAGCCUUGAGUGCAGUUGAGGUGGGCGGAAUACAGCAUGUAGCGGUGAAAUGCUUAGAUAUGCUGUAGAACACCGAUUGCGAAGGCAGAUCACUAAACUGUAACUGACGCUGAGGCACGAAAGCGUGGGGAUCGAACAGG
Molecule: ribosomal RNA, 253 nt
Filed under: uncultured bacterium
Lineage: Bacteria
Description: partial 16S ribosomal RNA
Rfam family: Bacterial small subunit ribosomal RNA
Source: RNAcentral